RNAcentral lists this ribosomal RNA (465 nucleotides) under uncultured bacterium. Its description in RNAcentral is "partial 16S ribosomal RNA". It matches the Rfam family "Bacterial small subunit ribosomal RNA", at positions 28 to 507 of the family's 1533-position model. The record is from RNAcentral.
GACGAACGCUGGCGGCGUGCUUAACACAUGCAAGUCGUACGGUAAGGCCCUUUCGGGGGUACACGAGUGGCGAACGGGUGCGUAACACGUGCGUAACCUGCCCACAACUUUGGGAUAACGCUAGGAAACUGGUGCUAAUACUGGAUAUGUGCUCCUGCUGCAUGGUGGGGGUUGGAAAGCUCCGGCGGUUGUGGAUGGACUCGCGGCCUAUCAGCUUGUUGGUGGGGUAGUGGCCUACCAAGGCGGCGACGGGUAGCCGGCCUGAGAGGGUGACCGGCCACAUUGGGACUGAGAUACGGCCCAGACUCCUACGGGAGGCAGCAGUGGGGAAUAUUGCACAAUGGGCGCAAGCCUGAUGCAGCAACGCCGCGGGCGGGAUGACGGCCUUCGGGUUGUAAACCGCUUUCAGCAGGGACGAAGCUUUUUGUGACGGUACCUGCAGAAGAAGCACCGGCUAACUACGUG